This 400-nucleotide ribosomal RNA is filed under the name uncultured bacterium. RNAcentral describes it as "bacterial SSU rRNA". It matches the Rfam family "Bacterial small subunit ribosomal RNA", at positions 355 to 746 of the family's 1533-position model. The record is from RNAcentral.
UGAGGAAUAUUGCGCAAUGGGGGCAACCCUGACGCAGUGACGCCGCGUGAGUGAUGAAGGCUUUCGAGUUGUAAAGCUCUGUUAGGUGGAAAGAAACACUCCGGCGCUAAUAUCGUCGGAGCUUGACGGUACCACCAGAGGAAGCACCGGCUAACUCCGUGCCAGCAGCCGCGGUAAUACGGAGGGUGCAAGCGUUGUUCGGAUUUACUGGGCGUAAAGGGCGUGUAGGCGGUUAGCUAAGUCAGAUGUGAAAGCCCUUGGCUUAACCAAGGAAGAGCAUUUGAAACUAGCUGACUAGAGUACAGGAGAGGAAAGUGGAAUUCCCAGUGUAGAGGUGAAAUUCAUAGAUAUUGGGAGGAACACCGGUAGCGAAGGCGGCUUUCUGGUCUGAUACUGACGC